Molecule: ribosomal RNA, 119 nt
Filed under: Anabas testudineus (climbing perch)
Lineage: Eukaryota; Metazoa; Chordata; Actinopteri; Anabantiformes; Anabantidae
Source: RNAcentral
GCUUACGGCCAUACCACCCUGAACAUGCCCGAUGUCAUCCAAUCUCAGAAGCCAAGCAGGGUAGGGCCUUGUUAGUACUUGGAUGGGAGACCGCCUGGGAAUACCAGGUGCUGUAAGCU